AGGUUGAUCUGUGCCCCUGUAAUCGCCGGCUGCCCCAGCCAAGGAUGCACCAGGGAACAUCUCGACCUUGCUACGAGGCCCCUGUGCUCCUCCUGCGAUGCACGAGCUCCUCUGCUCCUUCAGUAAUUGCCUGCACAGGAGGGUGCCCCCGGCUCUGCUCCGAGGCGCUCCAGCCUCACGCUGCAUCCGAGGUGGGAAUUAUUCCAUUUAGCAAAGAGGAUUAAUGUUUCAUAACAAAAGGUAAUUUAUUCAGGCUCUCCUGGUAGGACGCUGCCAGUGGUGGCCCGGUGCAGUGAUUGGCAUGGAUCGGCUCCAUCAGAACUCCCAUCAGGACACAGCCAGGGGGACCAAGGUGGCAGCAUGGCCGGAGCUGCUGCCAGCUCCAGCUCACCCCAGCCUGGAGGAUGGGCUCUCUGUGGGGACGCUGCUUUUAUUGCUGCUUUGCUGGCCGUGGCAUCAAAGAGAAUAGCAGAUAAAUUGUGGCUAGAGACAAUGAGGGUAGCGCGCCUCUGGGAUUUGUAUGAGAUCCAGGACUCUGCCAUGCAGUCAUUAAGGAUCUGGGCAAGCAAUAAGCUGUGAAGGAGCAGAAUGUGCAGAUGACAGGCUGCUGUUUGGAAUAGGCGAGCUUAAAGAAGACGGAGGAAUUUUAAGGACAUCUCCCAGAGCCCAGUGAGCAAGUGCCUGGCAUGGGGGUGACGUUUGGAUUGCCCAGUGCAAAGCAAUACACAGGGAUUGCAAUUACCUGAGCUAUUUGCACACAUUUGUGUGUUCUGAGUUAACUCUGUCAGCUCAGGAAGCUGAAAUACAUCUGCGUUAGAGGAAAACCCUGCACCCAUAAUCCAAAAAGCCAGGGAAUCCAGCACUCUGUAAAGCAUGGGGCAGGGAAAAACCCAACCCUGGGAACAGGGUGUUGUAGUACAAUGGCUCGUUCUCACCCAGAAAUGUGGGUUGAGAUCAGACUGAGAGACCUCAAAAAAGGUGCAGGA
Pezoporus flaviventris is the source of this 986-nucleotide long non-coding RNA. RefSeq lists it as uncharacterized. NCBI's taxonomy places the organism in Eukaryota, Metazoa, Chordata, Aves, Psittaciformes, Psittacidae. The record is from RefSeq and is a predicted model, not a curated record. The transcript has 3 exons.